Molecule: long non-coding RNA, 2556 nt
Organism: Uranotaenia lowii
Lineage: Eukaryota; Metazoa; Arthropoda; Insecta; Diptera; Culicidae
Exons: 6
Source: RefSeq, a predicted model, not a curated record
ACCCAGGCUCAGUUUGAAGGCCAGAAGUAAAAUUUUCAUUGAAUCAAUAUGCUCAGCAGUUUUGUAUUCUCUUUAAAUAGAUCAAAUCCCUUGCGCUUACAAUCCCAUGAUGGGAACAUACGAAGUCGUGUGGAGUAUUUAUAUUGUCAACUUAUCCGGUCAUUUUAAUGUAACAAAAAAUUAUUUAACAGACAACAACAGAAGAAGAGGAAAUCGAAGAAAAAACAAGCCUUGUUUCCGUCUGUAAAGCUGUUUUCAUUGGUGGUAGCGCUACACCCAUAGAAAAGGUUGCAAAAAUCCAAUGCCUAUUUAGCAAAUCUCCGAAAAUACACUGAAAAGUGUAGUGUGCCAAAGAUGACAUGAUUGGAAAAGCACUUCUGGCAUAAAGACUCGAGCUCCCUAGCCAAAUGACUACAUUCAAGCGAAAUAGGAAAAUCAUUUUAUGGGAUUUUCAUCCUACUGGAUAAUUCAUUCCAAAAAAGUAUAGUGGGAAUCGAACCGACUGCAACAUCUUAUCUUGUCUUACCAAAUCUUACCUUACCAAAAAAAAGCACUGCAUUGGUCGUCUGCCGUUUGGCCGGUGUAUUUUGUUCAUCCUCCUCUGUCUUUGAUGGUAAAGGGAUGAGAAUGGGAGGACACAGAAUCUUAUACCAAUAAUUCCACCUCCAAGAAAGUUCAUUGUUGGAGUAAAGUCUGAUUUGUGGGUGUAGCAAUUACCAAUGCCUUUUUCAUCAGUCUCGCCAAACUGGGAAAACUGGUCUAUCAACUUGACGGUAGUUCCGGUGGAUUGCAAUGAGUUUUCGUGAAUAACAUUCAGCCGACAGAAUGGGAAGAGGAAGAUCAACACCGUCGCUCAACUAUCAACUUAACAGACCCAGAUCACCAGUGACCAGAUCCAAUUUCGGGUCGACUGUGGAAGACUGCGUCCCACCAUCAGCAACAAUUGGCUGUGAUAUAUGCAUUGCGAUUGCGCUGGGAGGACAAUGCCAGUUAUUAGAUAGCUUGUUGAUGCCGGUCCGGCAUAAAAUUUUAUACCAAUAAUUCCACCUCCAAAAAAGAUCAUUGUUGGAGUAGAGUCUGAUUUGUGGGUGUAUCAAUCACCAAUGCCUUCUUCAGCAGUCUGGCCAAACUGGGAAAAGCGGUCUAUCAACUUGACGGAAGUCCCGGUGUAUUGGAAUGAGUCUUCAUGAAUCAUCCACUUUCAGCCGGCAGAAUGAGAAAUUCAACACAAUCACUUCAGUGCCCGGAUCCAAUUUCGGGUCGACUAUGGAAGACCGCGCGCAUCACCAUUAGCAAAAAAUCUUAUGUUGAGACGAUAAGUACAUACGGUCUUAAGGCGGCCAUACAUUACACAAGUUGCGUGUGUAAAUUCGAUAAUUCUUCGACGAUUGUUUGAUUCUAUGCACGACCAAAAAAAAACACCUCCACCCCCGCUGGGGCGGAGUAAAUGGCCUAAAAUUUGUACAAACAGCACCAUACACAAACUGUUUGCCCGCUCAUCCAAGCAAUGUUAUACACGAUGCAAAUCGUAUUGGAAGCGCAAGAAUUUCAUUGACUCUUAUAGCAUUUGUACAAAUGUGGCGUAGCGUAUGGCCCGCUUUACUCAAACCGACUGCGUACUCAUUCAAGCAGUGCCAUACACGCUGCAAAUUCGCAUUCGCAGUAGCAAAAUUUCAUCGCAUUUGAAUAAGUGGGCCGCUAAAACGGACGCCUGUUGUGGUCCUGUAUAUAUUCUUCGAAUACCGUGGAUUCCUCGCGACGUAUGCAGACGUUUUUGGCUCAGGAAAUUGGCAACGGUGCCAGUAUCGAUCUGCAGAAUAGAUGGAUAUAAAAACAAGAUGAUUUAUGACCGUUUUAAACACACCGCUCUGGGAAUUUCUACAACCAGCGUAAUCAAAAGAUGUCGAUUCGAUGAUGGACGGAAAAGAGCAAAAGUUUACUAUAUAAUGCAAUUUGCAUCUAGUUCGAUUUAUCCGCCACAAUGCUAGAAAAGCUGACCGCAUAUCCCGAUAUCCACGUCCUGGUUCCUCCGCUGUUGUUUUUCUUGCAUCUUGAUGCAUGGUUGCCCAGGAAAUUGUGCAUCUUAACUCGGUCCCGGAAGACGUAUGGUGUCUGCACCCGGCGAAAAUUGUCCUUGUGGGGGAAAACCACGACAUGAAUCUAUCAUACGCUGACUUACCAUAAUGCUUGUUUCCUGUGGGAUCCUGCCAGGAUCACGUUAAAGAACGUCGAGACACACGUCGAUUUCGCGGGCAGGCAGAGUAGGUGUACCUUUCCCAAUUCCAGGAACUCUCGGCCUACUACACGACCGCUGCCAGGAACUGGUAAAUGAAAAUGUUUCCCCAUCGCCGAAGAACGCUUGCGCUUUGCCACAGAUGUCAGGAACUGCCAGCUGAGCCCUAAAAGCAGAGAUACGAUCGCUACAUGCGGCGUACCACAGCCCUCUGGUAAUGAACGCUACUGUUCUCAGCACGUCUGGCAGCAACAAAAAAUAAUAAAAACCGCGAGCAAAAUUUUACUCAUGCUGAGAACUGAAAUGUUUAAAUUUAGUGCGAG